GAUGAAGAACGUAGCGAAAUGCGAUAAGUAAUGUGAAUUGCAGAAUUCAGUGAAUCAUCGAAUCUUUGAACGCACAUUGCGCCCCUUGGUAUUCCGAGGGGCAUGCCUGUUCGAGCGUCAUUAUAACCCCUCAAGCUCAGCUUGGUGUUGGGGCCUGCUGCACUGGCAGCCCUUAAAAUCAGUGGCGGCGCCAUCUGGCUCUAAGCGUAGUAAUUCUUCUCGCUAUGGAGUCCUGAUGGAUGCUUGCCAUCAACCCCCAAUUUUUCUAUGGUUGACCUCGGAUCAGGUAGGGAUACCCGCUGAACUUAAGCAUAUCAAUAAGCGGAGGA
Molecule: unclassified non-coding RNA, 329 nt
Filed under: soil metagenome
Description: partial contains 5.8S ribosomal RNA, internal transcribed spacer 2, and large subunit ribosomal RNA
Rfam family: 5.8S ribosomal RNA (bases 1-120)
Source: RNAcentral